AAGAAGUUAGUUUAAAUAAAACAUAAAUUUGUCAAAUUUAAAUUGCUUUACCACAAGCAUUUCUUU
RNAcentral lists this transfer RNA (66 nucleotides) under Nephotettix parvus. RNAcentral describes it as "tRNA-Asp". The record is from RNAcentral. Lineage: Eukaryota; Metazoa; Arthropoda; Insecta; Hemiptera; Cicadellidae.